GACGAACGCUGGCGGCAUGCCUAAUACAUGCAAGUCGAACGCUUCUUUCAAGGGUGCUUGCACCUUUGAAAGAGGAGUGGCGAACGGGUGAGUAACACGUGGGGAACUUGCCUAUGAGUGGGGGAUAACAUUCGGAAACGGAUGCUAAUACCGCAUACGUCUCUUUUUCGCAUGGAAGAGAGAUAAAAGACGGCUUCGGCUGUUGCUCAUGGAUAGCCCCGCGGCGUAUUAGCUAGUUGGUGAGGUAACUGCUCACCAAGGCUGUGAUACGUAGCCGACCUGAGAGGGUGAUCGGCCACACUGGGACUGAGACACGGCCCAG
Molecule: ribosomal RNA, 322 nt
Filed under: uncultured bacterium
Lineage: Bacteria
Description: bacterial SSU rRNA
Rfam family: Bacterial small subunit ribosomal RNA
Source: RNAcentral